AAUCUCUCCAAUAUUUGUUUAUCUCCAUAACUUUCAUUCCCGCUGCAUGGAUAAAGCUGUAUAUAUUUAUAUUUAUAACAAUAUAUAAAAAUAAUAAUUUUAACGCACAUAUUAUAUAUCCUACCAUUGGUAAUAACCACUACUUCAAAAGGUCGAACUAUUAGAAUAAACUAAUCAAUUUAUUUAAAAGUGUAUGUAUAAACACAGUGCUCACGAGUCUCGACCGUGAUUUGAUUGAAUUAGUUC
This 246-nucleotide long non-coding RNA is filed under the name Ananas comosus (pineapple). Its description in RNAcentral is "long non-coding RNA (ACOM_LNC027287)". The record is from RNAcentral. Lineage: Eukaryota; Viridiplantae; Streptophyta; Magnoliopsida; Poales; Bromeliaceae.